RNAcentral lists this ribosomal RNA (424 nucleotides) under uncultured bacterium. RNAcentral describes it as "bacterial SSU rRNA". It matches the Rfam family "Bacterial small subunit ribosomal RNA", at positions 355 to 776 of the family's 1533-position model. The record is from RNAcentral.
UAAGGAAUAUUGGUCAAUGGACGCAAGUCUGAACCAGCCAUGCCGCGUGAAGGAUGAAGGCCCUCUGGGUUGUAAACUUCUUUUAUAGGGGACGAAAUGCAUUUUUUCUAAGAUGUUUGACGGUACCCUAGGAAUAAGCACCGGCUAACUCCGUGCCAGCAGCCGCGGUAAUACGGAGGGUGCAAGCGUUAUCCGGAUUCACUGGGUUUAAAGGGUGCGUAGGUGGGUUUGUAAGUCAGUGGUGAAAUCUCCAGGCUUAACCUGGAAACUGCCAUUGAUACUAUAGAUCUUGAAUUAUCUGGAGGUCAGCGGAAUAUGUCAUGUAGCGGUGAAAUGCUUAGAUAUGACAUAGAACACCGAUUGCGAAGGCAGCUGGCUACAGGUAAAUUGACACUGAGGCACGAAAGCGUGGGGAUCAAACAGG